Molecule: long non-coding RNA, 2535 nt
Organism: Synchiropus splendidus (mandarinfish)
Lineage: Eukaryota; Metazoa; Chordata; Actinopteri; Syngnathiformes; Callionymidae
Exons: 2
Source: RefSeq, a predicted model, not a curated record
GUUCCUGAUCUUUGAAGUGUCUGCUUUCAAGUAGUCUGGAAGUCUGUGUGUCUGAUACAUUUUGUUGAAUCGACAACAAACGUUGCAUCGAUAUUUCAUUUCUUCGGAACAGGACCAGGACACAGAGAAGCGUCCACCGUUCUGCUGCGGCCUCAUUGACAGGCUGAAAGUACGAGGACUUAGGAGGAGGGAGUGACUUACGUUUCACAGACAGAGCAGUGGUGGCAGCGGUCAGGCUUCAGCACCUGGCAGCGGUCACAGAACCUGAUAGCUGGAGAUAAAAAGAUGGCCAGUUGAAUGAGCGACAUUUGAGCUAAGUUUACCCUUCGCUUACUUCCUGCUGAGUCAAACACAGUCUCUGCAAUCAGCACUAAUGAAAGAGAUGCCUUGGCUGAUUAUUCCUGACAUGGACGCCGUGCGGGGCCGAAAGCGAACUUGAUAACAACAUAAUAACAAGAGGGGGAGAUGUGAUCUUUCUACAAGGAAACUGGGCAGUUAUGUACUUGAACAAUAUGGAUGCAUUGUUCUACUUUAAUCAGUUGAACAGUGGCAUUUGUCCAUUGUUGCAACUGUUUUAGAAUGAUACAAGGAGCACGAUACCUCCAGACUGUGCACGGGUGAAGAUAGGAAGUUUCUUUGCGAUUUCAACCAGGAUUUGUUUCUGAGCAUCUGGUCUCUCCUCCAUCUCGUAUCUCUGCUUGUCUGAGUAGGACAGCUGGAACUUAAAAAAGAAAGACCCAUUUAAUACCAACAUUAAAUGAUAACACACUUUAACACUAACAAAAAGAAACUGAGGCAAUUCAGUUCCCAUCAGUUACAAUGCGUUUUCUUUUUUAUAAGUUUUACAUUUAGGCACACACUGAAUGUGGUUAAAGGGGAAAUCAAAGUCGUGAAUGACAUGCUUCAGUUAUGUAUAUCUUUCACACGUCACAUUCUACCUACUUUUUUGCAGGGAGUAGCGGGAGGAGUGAAGAUGGACUUCCAGUACGUCCAGGAAAACAUCACGAAGCAAAUGUGAAACACCAGCAGAUAAGCCACUGAAACCAAAGACGGAAAUCACUCAUGGAACACGUUUACACACGUGAACGAAUUGUAGAAUAGACGUGAUCGAACCUUUUUCCACGGUGUUGGUGAGCGUGACUGAAAAACAAUCACGAGACGACAUGAAUCGCAACAUUGAGGUUAUCUGGUUGAACUGGUUUGACUGAUCACAACAAAAACACCAGGAACGAGCUAACGCUAUCACCCGAAAAGACAAGUCGUUGCCCAGCUCUCUAAAUUAUGCUUUCAAUAAACAAGACAGGGAGACAGUUUUGGAAAUUUAACACUGAUGCCAUAGAAUAAACGAGCCUCCCCUGGACACUUCCGGCUGCCGAGCUAGCUACAUUCCGUCUAUGUUGUGCGGCAAACGAUCGCGACUACUACUUUCCCAGACAAAAUCACAGUACUUUCUACUUACACAGACAUAACUGGAACACAUAGGCGUAGUACGACCAAAGGACCACGGACGUGAUGAUGAGAACAGGUAUCCAAGAGAACACCCUUUGACAGCAUCUCAAACCUUUGGAGAGAGCCAUACUCCAGCUACUCUGGCUUCAUUUCAGGGAUCCGCUAGUAUUCCUGGGCUCCUGGAUCGAUGUUAUCGGAGAGCGAUUAACCACACUGCUGGAACGGCAGAAGAUCUGUUGAUGCUUCACUUCUUAUUAAAAUAACUGCAGUGGAUAUAAACUUAAUUUUUGACACUUAUAAAUACACUUUAGGACGAGGUAAAAUAUGAAGGACUGUGGUUCUUUGGAACACUUAAAAAACUACCAGCACCUCGUGAAAUGUACAUCGCAUCAAUCAAUCCAACAAAUAUAUUCAAACUGCAUUGGUCAAUACCAAAGGUACCAUAAAAGGUACCACUUCAGGUACUGACCAUUGCAAAAAGGGAGCGGUAGAGGACACAAUAUCAUGCAAUACCAGUUGCCAACUGGUAUUGUGAUUUACCUCAUAUUAAAUAGCAUAUUAUUAUGGCAACACACCUAGCGAACAAACGUUUUAUUCAGUAUAAAAUUACAGUUACCUCAAAUUACAUUAGAUAAUUUCAAUAAACUUGACGAUUUUUGUCCAUCCGUUUAUUGUUAUUAUUAUUAAUAAUAAUAAUAAUAACAAUAAUAAUAAUAAUAAUAAUAAUAAUAAUAAUAAUAAUAAUAAUAAUAAUAAUAAUAAUAAUAAUAAUAAUAAUAAUAAUUUAUUUUUUUUUUAUAAUAACGGAUUUUAUUUUGUACAAUGGAUGUUUUGCCUACUCCACACCAGCAGCGGAUCGUCCUGCAAAAUAAAUUGUCCACCUCCCUAACUAUAUGUCUGUAUUAAAGGAUUAUGUUUUUUAUUUUACAAACACCUGCAUUCCAUCAACCUGGAGCGUACUCCCUUGACACUUUGUAGCAUUCACCAAUAGGAGGCAGUGUGAGACCCUUAUAGCAUCGCUGGCUCGAUUCCGUGGAACCGAAGAACAAUAAAGCUGGAUUUAACGCACAAUUAAUGAAAAAGAAA